CGCGAGAUCAGCGUGUUACCCUGGUAUAAGUGANUCUUAUUGGANUACUNCAUCAUAGAGGGUGAAANUCCCGUCUGUGACCAGGAGUUAGCCGCGUACGAUCCGUGUUCGCAGAGUCGCGUUGUUUGGGAUUGCAGCGCUAAAUNNGAGGUAAAUUUCUUCUAAAGCUAAAUAUCGACGAGAGACCGAUAGCGAACAAGUACCGUGAGGGAAAGAUGAAAAGAACUUUGAAAAGAGAGUUAAAAAGUACUUGAAAUUGCUAAGAAGGAAGCACUGGAAACCAGUCAUGCUUACGUACAAAANCUUUCGUUCCUCGAGUGGAGUUGGUAGGAGAGCUUUAAACCUCAUGCUAAUUUCAUAAAAGCGCGUUUGUAGCUGUCCGUAGGCAGAGUCAGAAUCAAUUUGAUCCGCAAGAGAAAGCUAUGACAACGGUAGGACCUCUUUAGCAAUAGAGUUGGUCUGUUUAGUGUCGUAGUCCUAUUGUGGGUUAGAUUGAGGUACCAUCUAAAGGCGGAUCGCGGUUCCCUGCGUCUGGGAGCAGAGGGAGAUUGGACAACAAAGUUGUGCGUUUCCCGACGUUCUUACUACAAAGGAUGAAUCANCUGCAGCCUUCGAGAUUCUGACGAAAUGGUUUUCAUUGACCCGUCUUGA
RNAcentral lists this ribosomal RNA (651 nucleotides) under uncultured fungus. Its description in RNAcentral is "eukaryotic LSU rRNA". It matches the Rfam family "Eukaryotic large subunit ribosomal RNA", at positions 157 to 657 of the family's 3401-position model. Lineage: Eukaryota; Fungi. The record is from RNAcentral.